This 434-nucleotide ribosomal RNA is filed under the name uncultured bacterium. RNAcentral's name for it is "partial 16S ribosomal RNA". It matches the Rfam family "Bacterial small subunit ribosomal RNA", at positions 29 to 507 of the family's 1533-position model. The record is from RNAcentral.
AGCGAACGCUGGCGGCAGGCCUAACACAUGCAAGUCGAACGAACCUUUCGGGGUUUGUGGCGGAAGGGUGAGUAACACGUGGGAACGUGCCUUUAGGUUAGGAACAAAUCAGGGAAACUUGUGCUAAUAACGAAUGUGCCCUUCGGGGGAAAGAUUUCUCGCCUUUAGAGCGGCCCGCGUCUGAUUAGGUAGUUGGUUGAGGUAAUGGCUCACCAAGGCGACGAUCAGUAGCUGGUCUGAGAGGAUGAUCAGCCACAUUGGGACUGAGACACGGCCCAAACUCCUACGGGAGGCAGCAGUGGGGAAUCUUGCGCAAUGGGCGAAAGCCUGACGCAGCCAUGCCGCGUGAAUGAUGAAGGUCUUAGGAUUGUAAAAUUCUUUCACCGGGGACGAUAAUGACGGUACCCGGAGAAGAAGCCCCGGCUAACUUCGUG